This 406-nucleotide unclassified non-coding RNA is filed under the name Hevea brasiliensis (rubber tree). Lineage: Eukaryota; Viridiplantae; Streptophyta; Magnoliopsida; Malpighiales; Euphorbiaceae. The record is from RNAcentral.
UCUUUUUUUCAAAUAUUUUAUCCCAAAAAAAACCAAAUCAAAUAAAUUGAAAAUUAUAAGAAGAAAAUCAAAUCAAAUUUUUGAGAAAACCAAACCAAAAUUUUGAUAUAAAUCAAUUUAGUCGGUUUUUCAGUUUGAAUCUAAUAUUGCUCACCCCUACGCAGAAAGUUGUACUUCUUCCCUACAUGUGUCUUCCUAGAAUAUUCCGAUACUGGAUUUGGUUUGAACUUUCAACAGCCAAUUCAGAUCUCUCAAACUCCUAGAAUAUCUAUGGUACUGAGUUGAAUUUGGUGCAUUUUUCUUCAGUUGAAACGCUGCACGAUGUGUCAACCAGUCUACAGCUAGCAUUUUUUACUUGUAUUAUGAAAAUUGCAAAUUCUGAUAAUUUUAUAUUUCAAUAGAUGGG